Molecule: ribosomal RNA, 462 nt
Filed under: Escherichia coli
Lineage: Bacteria; Pseudomonadati; Pseudomonadota; Gammaproteobacteria; Enterobacterales; Enterobacteriaceae
Also listed under: 1 other name
Description: bacterial SSU rRNA
Rfam family: Bacterial small subunit ribosomal RNA
Source: RNAcentral
AAAUUGAAGAGUUUGAUCAUGGCUCAGAUUGAACGCUGGCGGCAGGCCUAACACAUGCAAGUCGAACGGUAACAGGAAACAGCUUGCUGUUUCGCUGACGAGUGGCGGACGGGUGAGUAAUGUCUGGGAAACUGCCUGAUGGAGGGGGAUAACUACUGGAAACGGUAGCUAAUACCGCAUAAUGUCGCAAGACUAAAGAGGGGGACCUUCGGGCCUCUUGCCAUCGGAUGUGCCCAGAUGGGAUUAGCUAGUAGGUGGGGUAACGGCUCACCUAGGCGACGAUCCCUAGCUGGUCUGAGAGGAUGACCAGCCACACUGGAACUGAGACACGGUCCAGACUCCUACGGGAGGCAGCAGUGGGGAAUAUUGCACAAUGGGCGCAAGCCUGAUGCAGCCAUGCCGCGUGUAUGAAGAAGGCCUUCGGGUUGUAAAGUACUUUCAGCGGGGAGGAAGGGAGUAAAG